This 419-nucleotide ribosomal RNA is filed under the name Pseudomonas aeruginosa. RNAcentral describes it as "bacterial SSU rRNA". It matches the Rfam family "Bacterial small subunit ribosomal RNA", at positions 171 to 585 of the family's 1533-position model. The record is from RNAcentral. Lineage: Bacteria; Pseudomonadati; Pseudomonadota; Gammaproteobacteria; Pseudomonadales; Pseudomonadaceae.
GCAUAACGUCGCAAGACCAAAGUGGGGGACCUUCGGGCCUCAUGCCAUCAGAUGUGCCCAGAUGGGAUUAGCUAGUAGGUGGGGUAACGGCUCACCUAGGCGACGAUCCCUAGCUGGUCUGAGAGGAUGACCAGCCACACUGGAACUGAGACACGGUCCAGACUCCUACGGGAGGCAGCAGUGGGGAAUAUUGCACAAUGGGCGCAAGCCUGAUGCAGCCAUGCCGCGUGUGUGAAGAAGGCCUUCGGGUUGUAAAGCACUUUCAGCGGGGAGGAAGGCGGUGAGGUUAAUAACCUCAUCGAUUGACGUUACCCGCAGAAGAAGCACCGGCUAACUCCGUGCCAGCAGCCGCGGUAAUACGGAGGGUGCAAGCGUUAAUCGGAAUUACUGGGCGUAAAGCGCACGCAGGCGGUCUGUCA